AUUGAACGCUGGCGGCAUGCCUUACGCAUGCAAGUCGAACGGUAACAGGUCUUCGGAUGCUGACGAGUGGCGAACGGGUGAGUAAUACAUCGGAACGUGCCUAGUAGUGGGGGAUAACUACUCGAAAGAGUGGCUAAUACCGCAUGAGAUCUACGGAUGAAAGCAGGGGAUCGCAAGACCUUGUGCUACUAGAGCGGCCGAUGGCAGAUUAGGUAGUGGGGGGGAAAAAAGUUUACCAAGCCGACGAUCUGUAGCUGGUCUGAGAGGACGAUCAGCCACACUGGGACUGAGACACGGCCCAGACUCCUACGGGAGGCAGCAGUGGGGAAUUUUGGACAAUGGGCGCAAGCCUGAUCCAGCAAUGCCGCGUGCAGGAUGAAGGCCUUCGGGUUGUAAACUGCUUUUGUACGGAACGAAAAGCCCCGGGUUAAUACCCUGGGGUCAUGACGGUACCGUAAGAAUAAGCACCGGCUAACUACGUGCCAGCAGCCGCGGUAA
RNAcentral lists this ribosomal RNA (498 nucleotides) under uncultured bacterium. Its description in RNAcentral is "partial 16S ribosomal RNA". It matches the Rfam family "Bacterial small subunit ribosomal RNA", at positions 30 to 523 of the family's 1533-position model. The record is from RNAcentral.